UUGGAACAGGACGUCACAGAGGGUGAGAAUCCCGUGCUUGGCUGGCUGUCCCCGUCCAUGUGAGGUGUCUUCGACGAGUCGAGUUGUUUGGGAAUGCAGCUCAAAAUGGGUGGUAAAUUUCAUCUAAAGCUAAAUAUUGGUGGGAGACCGAUAGCGCACAAGUAGAGUGAUCGAAAGAUGAAAAGCACUUUGAAAAUAGAGUUAAAAAGUACGUGAAAUUGUUGAAAGGGAAGCGCUUGAGACCAGACUUCGGUAAGGGGUGAUCAGCCGUCCUUCUGGGCGGUGCACUUGCCCCCCUCCGGGCCAGCAUCGGUUGAGGCGGCGGGAUAAAGGUCCCGGGAAUGUGGCUCCUUCACGGGAGUGUUAUAGCCCGGGUGAAUGCCGCCAGCUUCGACCGAGGACCGCACCCGCAAGGGUUAGGAUGCUUGGCAUAAUGGUCUUCAGCGAC
RNAcentral lists this ribosomal RNA (448 nucleotides) under Morchella sp. RNAcentral's name for it is "partial large subunit ribosomal RNA". It matches the Rfam family "Eukaryotic large subunit ribosomal RNA", at positions 190 to 648 of the family's 3401-position model. The record is from RNAcentral. Lineage: Eukaryota; Fungi; Ascomycota; Pezizomycetes; Pezizales; Morchellaceae.